This 202-nucleotide long non-coding RNA is filed under the name Elaeis guineensis (African oil palm). Its description in RNAcentral is "long non-coding RNA (EGUI_LNC037098)". The record is from RNAcentral. Lineage: Eukaryota; Viridiplantae; Streptophyta; Magnoliopsida; Arecales; Arecaceae.
GACCCUACUCUGAACUUCUUUCGGACUUCGUCAAUAUCCGAGCUCCUCCGAUAAUGAGAUUUCUAUAGUAACCAGACUCCAUCCUAGUUUCUACAGUGGUCGACUGCCUUUCGGAUUUCAACCGAGCUCCUGCGAGAGCCGAACUCCCACUGCAGGCGGUCUACUCUGGAUAUCUACUGUAAGAGAAUUCCAUUCGAGCCUC